This 339-nucleotide unclassified non-coding RNA is filed under the name soil metagenome. Its description in RNAcentral is "partial contains 5.8S ribosomal RNA, internal transcribed spacer 2, and large subunit ribosomal RNA". The stretch from base 1 to 120 matches the Rfam family "5.8S ribosomal RNA", at positions 35 to 154 of the family's 154-position model. The record is from RNAcentral.
GAUGAAGAACGCAGCGAAAUGCGAUAAGUAAUGUGAAUUGCAGAAUUCAGUGAAUCAUCGAAUCUUUGAACGCACAUUGCGCCCUUUGGUAUUCCUUAGGGCAUGCCUGUUCGAGCGUCAUUUAAACCUUCAAGCUCAGCUUGGUGUUGGGUGACUGUCCGCCGCCUCCGGGCGCGUGGACUCGCCUCAAAAUUAUUGGCGGCCGGUACAUUGGCUUCGAGCGCAGCAGAAACGCGAACUCGGGCCCGUCGUAUUGGCUCCCAGAAGCUAUCUUCACAAUUUUGACCUCGGAUCAGGUAGGGAUACCCGCUGAACUUAAGCAUAUCAAUAAGCGGAGGA